Molecule: transfer RNA, 73 nt
Filed under: Camelus bactrianus (Bactrian camel)
Lineage: Eukaryota; Metazoa; Chordata; Mammalia; Artiodactyla; Camelidae
Also listed under: 2 other names
Rfam family: tRNA
About the family: Transfer RNA (tRNA) molecules are approximately 80 nucleotides in length. Their secondary structure includes four short double-helical elements and three loops (D, anti-codon, and T loops).
Source: Rfam by way of RNAcentral
GAGGGUAUAGCUCAAAUGGUAGAAUGCAUGCUUAACAUGCACAAGGUCCUGGGUUCAAUCCCCAGUACCUCCU